CUCUUUUUGCCUGCUGCCAUUCCAGUAGGAUGUGACUUGCUUCUCCUGGCCAUGGUUGUGAGGCCUCCCCAGCUAUGUGGAACUGUAAGUCCGGUAAACCUCUUUCUUUUAUAAAUUGCCCAGUCUCGGGUAUAUCUUCAUUAGCAGCGUGAAAACGGACAAAUACAGCUUCAGUUUCCCCUCACUCCACUCCCCAUUAGGGGAUAGUUUUUGUCCAGAUUAAAGAAAAACCUAUUGUUUAUGGUGGUGCUAGGGGAAAUGAAGAGGAAAGUCUUGCCUCUCCAUUUUCUUCCGUUCAUGAGGUGAGUUCUCUGGGUCUGCCUCUGACUGGGGAAGAUAUACAUUGAACCCCAAAUUUCCAUCCUUGGAAGUCCAGAUAGGUCUGAGGAAAAAAACAAAAAACCUAAUAGCAAUGUUACUGCAUUUAUCUGCCUUCCAUUUGAGCCAAAGAAAACCUGAGGGUCAUAUGAAGUGAAGUCCUGUUAAUUGGAAGGCCAGGUGGGUCUGAGGAAAAAAGCAAAAACAAAACAAAACAAAAAAACACCUAAUGGGAAGAAAUGUUACUGUUUUUAUCUGCCUUUCAUCUGGGCCAAAGAAAACCUGAGGCUCCUUUGAAGUUAAGCCCUGCUCAUCAGGGAAGACACCAGGUGAAUUGGGUCUAAAAGUCUUAGCUAGGGAGAAGAGUGUUCAUUUAGUGGAUAAUUCUCUUGCCAUAACCUCUUAGAGCUCUUCACAAUUGACUGGGUGCUUGGAAUCCUUGCUCUAGCUUCAUUAAAGAGUAAACUCAUCAGCCUCAUGCCUGGCUCCAAGGUGGUGAAUCCAGGAGGAGGAGGCUUCUGGGGCAGGGAGGGUCACUGUCUUCUACCUAGCAGCUAAGGUAGGGCCUGGUACGUGGAAAGUGUGCAAUCAGUGAUUGAAGGAGUGUUAAACAAUGAGUGACUAAGUUAGAAAACAAAUGAGGAAGUGACUGGGGACACUGGAUAGAUACAAAUCAAAUUAAAGAUGUCACAGGACCAAAGCUUGUGCUUGGGAAAAUAAAGGCUAUGAGAAUUUUAGGGGGAGGAGGUCCCUGCAGGCUGAUGUUGCUGAAAGAGCAGGCCUCCUAGGACUUCCCAUCUGCUGUCCCUGUUCUUACACUCUAUCAGCCAUGGCCCAAGAUCAAAUCUGAGUUGUGGAAGGACAUGACAAGGGGGUUACACAGGUGGCGAAGAGAAGAUAGAGUCACAGAGUUUUGGUCAUGCUGGGCCUACUGCAUGGCCCUUUCCAAAGAAAUUGUACUCUUUCUUCAGACCAAGAGAUUUGCUAGAAAGCAGAAAAACAAGCCGUGUUAAAGUCUGCAAUACUGAGAGCUGAUGUGGAUAACAAUUAGCUAGGAAAGUAGACGGCAGUUAAGGAGAAAGUUAUCCAAACCAUAAAAAGUGCUUUUAAGCAUCAGUGUUAUUUCUUUUUUUUCUUUAAAAAAACAAAACUAAUAUCUUCAUCAUAAACACAUGCCCAUAUUUUUUUUCUAUAUGUUUUAGGGCUUCAUUACUUGUAUUUAUUUAAUAUUAAUUUUAGCUAACACUUAUUGAGGCUUUACUAUAUGUCAGGCUCUGUUCCAAGCUUUUACCAUCGGAUUCCACACAAUAGUCCUUUAGCGCAGAUAUUAGUAGUAUCCCUAGUUUAUGGAUGAGGGCAGCUGAGGCAAAUGAAGAGGGGAAGUACAUCACUUAAAGCUAUAAAGCACUUCAUAUUACAGCCAGGAUUAGACAGUCUAAUUCCAGAGCCCAUACUCUUAAUCACUGCAAUAAAUCAAGUUAAUUUAAUUUAUGCUUUAAUCCUUACCCCUCAAAAAGUAGAGCAGGGCAGAAUUUGUGAUAUUGAAAUUUUUACCCCCGAGUCCUGCGAGUAUCUACACUAGACUGAAAUGUCGUCAUUACCAUAGCCUACAUAUGCAUAGAUGUUUUUGUUUCUUUGCUUUUUAUUUUAUCUAAUACUACACUUCCUCAAUUAUUUUAACUUUGAAAUAUUUAAUGACAAAAAGAAUAAUGCCUGACAUUGCAAGAUACCAUUGGCUAAUUUUGUCUAUUUUUCCAAGUACACUUUAUAGCAGAUGUCAAAUUUCAGAAAAGGCCAAAUGAGAUUUUGAUUGGCUUUUUAUUAUAAAUUGGAACAUGUUGAGGAAUUUGCAAUAGGCAGUCUUUCCUUUUAAAAUAGGGAAUAUUUCUAUUUAAACUUUAUUUCUUUGUAAAAAAAAGUGUAGUUUCUUCAAAUAAGCUUUACGCAUUUGGGUUUAUUUACACGUGACAUUUUUUGAUUGUUAUUUUGAAUGACAGUUUUUUUCAUUAUAUUUUCUGGGUGAAUUAGACUGUGAUGAAACUGUGCUAUUACCAGUUGCUGUGUUAUUACUUCAGAUCUUUGUUAAUAGAUGCUCAUGCAAUCGAGUGUAUGCAUCUUUGAUAAAUAGUUGCAAAGCCUCUACUCUUCUAAUAAUUUGUAUGUAUGUAAGUUGUACAUAAGAUAGGUAAAAUAAGAAUAUAGAAAAAUUCACUACACAGAUAGCACUACCAAUACUAUGAUGUUUGUACUUUUAUAUAUUUUAAUACAACUAUGAUUGUACUGUGCAUAGUUUCAUAACCUACCUUUUUAACUUGGUAAUAUAUCAUGAAUUUUUCCAAGUUAUUACCCUUUGACACUCACAGUUCAAUAAAUAUUUCCUGCACAUAUUGUAUGUAAGAAAUGAUGUUUGGUGCUAGGAAUACAAUGGCGAACAAGAUUAGAUAUGUUUCCUACCCUAAGGAGUUUAAAAUAUAGUGGCAAUGACAUAUUUCAGUUAACUCUUAAAGAGAUCUCACGGAAAACUAGGCACUGUUCUAUAGCCUUUGCAUAUAUUCAUUUAUUUCUUACAGAAACCCUGUAAGGUAGGCUCUAUAAUUACACCUAUUUUUACAGGUAAGUAAACUAAGGCAUAAGAAGGUAAAGUGUCUAGUCCAAGAUUAGGUAGCAUGUGAAGGAAUGGUUGAGCUGGAGUUGGAAUUUGAACCGGUCUUUCUAGAGACCACAUUCUUCUCUCACUUCUAUUACACAAAUGAUUAUUGGUUUAUAAUUACAACAAAUUUCAUGCAGGAAAUUGCUAGUGCAUAUGGCAGGAGGAGGGAUGUAUUUUUAGAAUGAUAGAAUCUCUGUGGAGGAAGUAUUUAUACAGAGAUUUGAAAGGUGAAAGGAAGCCAGACAUUCAAAGAGCUAGGGGAAAAAUGUCUCAUGCAAAGGAGAAAGGAUAAAAGAGAAUCCUGAUUUUGACUGGAGCUCGAUACAUUCAUGGAAAAAUUUAAACAAGGCCAGUGGGUCUGGAGUACAGAGAAUGAGAGGGAGAGUGCUUCAAGGUGAUGUGGGAAAGACAGGUGAGUGCAAGGUCAGGAAGGCUUUGUCACCCAUGUAGAGACAUUGAUUCUCAACUUACACAGAGAAUGAAUGAGAGAGUGACAAGCGGAGAAGCAGAGCCAAUCUGAAGACCCCUGUAGUCAUUCAAGUGAGAGAUGGUACUGGCUUAGAAUAGGGUUCCUGACGUGUGUAUGACAAGAAGUGGACAAAUGAGAACAUAUUUUGGAGAUAGAAUUUACAAAGCUUUCUGAUGAGAUUAAAUGUGCAAGAUUAAAGAAAGGGAGAAAUUCACUCACAGGUGGGAGUUGAACAAUGAGAACACAUGGACACAGGGCGGGGAACAUCACACACCGGGCCUGUCGGGGGUUGGGGGCGCUGGGGGAGGGAUAGCAGUAGAAGAAAUACCUAAUGUAAAUGACCAGUUCAUGGGUGCAGCAAACCAACAUGGAACAUGUAUACCUAUGUAACAAACCUGCACGUUGUGCACAUGUACCCUAGAACUUAAAGUAUAAUAAUAAACAGGGAGAAAUUAAUAAGCAAAGAAGAAAAUAUCACACAAUGGUAAAUUCUGUGCAUAUAAUCAAAAUAUAGUGAUAGGAUAGUGAAUUAGUGAGAACGUGAUCUGAAUAAUUAAAAGGGACAAUCUUGUUAUAAAGUCUUAGGAAACAGCUACUGUGGCAGCUUUAAGGGUAAGUUGGGCGCUUGGUGUGUUCUAGAAGGAGAAGAGAAGCCAGUGUGGUCAAGCUUCUUAGACAAGAGGAAAAUUAUCAGCAAGAGGAAGUCAAGGAAACAGGCAGGAGUGCAACUAUGGGAGGCUUUAGAGCUAGUCAAGGAACUUGGAUUUUAUCCUGAGUAUAAUAAGAAGGUAACUUUUGCUACUCCCAUCAGGAUUUUAUUUGAUUUAUUUAAAUAAACUUUUAAGACUAUCGUAAGCCACAUUUAGCCCGAAUCUACUCGAAGGACACAGGAAACAAAGCAAAAAUCACCAGUAGGGCAGAAUCAGGCAUUCCUCUUUUGGUGGGAGUUCUUAUUGUAGCCCAGGCAUAGGUUAGUAUAGCCACCCAGAAGUCAUUUUCUCCCAGGUGUAAGGAGUCAAAAUCUGUAUCAGGCAAGUCAGAGAGAGGCUGCAGGUUAAGUCCUGGUGCCCCAUAGUAGCUAACAGGCUUUUCAGCCCUCCAUACACCUAUGUUCUAGACUCUGCAAGAAAUGCCUUAUUAUAAUUUCCCCAAACUCAGGGCUGCCCAAACUAUGGAAUCUCCAACAGGUAUUUAUGAUUCAUUAUAACUUCUUCCCAUUCAGACAAGUUUGCCAAUCAAGGGUCAUUUCUAUCACAGGCAAUGCUGCCUAGUGUCAACCUAAAAUAAUGGCAGAGAGACAAGCUUCCCAAAUAAAUUACUUUGUUCAGGAAUAAACAGGACUAUAACCUGGGAUAUGCAUGCUAUGACAGAUCAUAGGCAUAUUCAGGGAGGUGGAGGCAAGGGAAACUUUUAAAGGCAAAAAGGAGAAGUAUAUGAAGGUCGUUUUGAAACAAAAGUUCAUUGGUCAUAGGGGCUUCCCACAGUUGGUGACAUGUGCACUGACCAUAGUUAGGAGUGGGUCUUCAUAGAAGUGACAUGACUACAGGGUUGUGGUUUAGUAAAGCUACUUGCAAGGCCGCAAUUAGGACUAUUACUGGAAAGAUGUCCUCGUCGAAGCGGCUUAAUUGCAAGGUGUGGUUUUGGCAGAGUCUCUUAUGACAGUUCUUGUUAUCAGGCAAAUAUACAUGAGGACCCUCCUUUUAUGAAGGUCCCAAACUAAAUGGAUCUUCUGGCUCCAUUUAGUUUGAUUUUGACAUGAAUGACUCCAUUUUGGUACCGACAGUUUUCACACUAGCAAUAUAAUUGGUAUUUUACAGUUGUCUGUUUUUCAGGGAAACAGAGCCAGUAAGUUUAACUGAAAAUCAGAUUCUCAUGCAACAGAGGAGUUUUGUUAAUCCUUUUACUUAUAUACUUCAGAUCACAUAGGGCACUAUGGUCUGAGAUAGAUAUUAGUGAGCAUGGUGAUUUAGAACGGUUUCAAGUAGCUUUCAGUUGGGUUUACUACUGCAAGAGCAAAGAAGCAGGGCAAAAGUUAUGUGAAAUUAAAUACACAGAAGAGUAGGUGGGCGUAGAUCCCCAUUGCUUCCAUAAUUCUCACAAAGGUGCACAUAAUUUGGUCACUGUGUCCUUUGCAAAAUGGUCUAGCAGGUCAAAGGGCCGGGAUUGUGAGCUCACUGUCUCUUAUACCCCUAGGCUAGGCAGGGAUCACAUCAGCACUCUAGAGCCUAUUUGCCAAAAUAAAAGGCAAUUCUUUGCAGAGUAGAUUACAUAUUCCAUGUUCUCAUUACUGUAUUAUCAGGACCACGGGAGUCCUAGUCACAGAUGGGAAUUUAAUUAAGAUAGUGAAAUGAACUCAUUUCCCUUGGCUGUUAAGUUGGCAGUGGGUGGUGAGGGCAAGAGUGGAAGCUGACAAGCUAGUACUUGGAUCUGCAGAAGUCCAGGGAAGAGAUUGUUUAGACUUGUGUCAUAACAGUACUGAUAGGGUGAUAGAUUCAGGACAUAUUUUUAAGGCUUGGUAGAAAGGGCUUGCUGAUGGAAUUAACAUGGGACAGAAGGCUUUUUGACUUGUGCAGUUAAGAGGAUAGUGGCCUUUAAGAAGGAGAAUAACUGGAGGAAGACGCUUUUCAGAGGAAUAUAAAAAAUACUGUUUUGACCCUGCUAGUUGAGGUCCCUGUUAGACUUCAAGUGGAGAUGACAAGUUUAAGUUCUGGGCAUAUUCAGAGGAAUAUAAAAAAUACUGGAUUAUUUGUCUAACCCAGUGAUGUAGAGUUGCUGUUCCUAAGUAUCUGUGGGUGUUGCUGAAAGCCAUGAAUGGUAUCAUCCAGGUCUACUGUGCAGACAGAAACAAGAGUGGGGCCCAGAGCUGAUCCAAAUUUAUAAAUCCUGUUUUCAUAAAUUCACAGAGAUAGAAUUAUUCACAGAAAUAGGUCAAAGAGUAACCAAAGGCUUGAGCUUAACAAUUUAAAUGCUAUUUUGAAUGGCUGUACUAUCAUAUCUCCACAUUAAAACAGGAUAGGGAGGCACUGGGGCCAAUUUUUCAUAGACAUCAUUUAAGAAAACCUAGGUCAGAAGGUCAAGCAGUUGAACUUUGUGCCCUGUCAUCCCCUAAUUUCCCUGUCAACUUGAACUUCAUUCUAGAAGUUCAGUCCCUGCCUUUGCAGCCUUGUACUUUCUUGGAAAGUUUUAUGUUCAAAUGUGUCCCAUGUCGGAAUAAUAGCUCCCUGACCUGUGGGACAAUCUAUGAUUAAUGCAUCCCAGGAGAGUACAUGCCCUUCAUCUGGCCUCCAGCCCUUAUUGAAUGGGGGUAAGAUUGAAAAUUUAUAAAGAUAGGAUAAGGCCUGUGGCAAAACAGAAACUCAUUUAGAGGCUUAUUGGUCAGACUGGAAUUUAAAGAGGAGAUUUUUCAGGAGGUCAUCAUGUUUGUCUAUUAAAUCUGUUACCUGGGACCUGUCAGGAACACGAAAGUUCUAUUGAAUGCCUUUCCCAAGGACCCAGCAUGCAUGGUGUAUCUUAAGAAGUAAAGGGUGUAUCUUGGUUACAAUUAGUAAUGUCUGUAACUCUGAAGGGAAUGAGGGUUUUGGCAAGGCCUUGUAUUGUGACCUUGGUAUAUAAGGAGACAUACUGAAACUAAUAUCGUUUUGACUUACAUUUUGGGUAUAUUCGUGAGCAAGAGAUUCUAAUAUGUUGAUUUUUUUUUACCUUGAAGAAGACAAUUUGUAGGUAAUGGCCCAAUAAUUUAUAAUACAUAUGAAGACAGGACCAUUUGUUGGCCAGGGCAUCCAGUGUUAAGGUGACUGCCUUAAGAUUAAGAUUAAGUGUGAUGUUUCUUGGGUCCUGUCCUUUGUUAGGGACAUCCUGGCUAAUGGAUGGAAAGCAGCAACAUUCCACUAAGCUCUAUCACCUGUCAUGGUUAGCAGUGCCAUUGGCAUAGUCCAGGAACAUGGCAUUUGGCAAGGAACUGAGAACAGGGGAAGCUACCUCUUCUGCUGGUGGAAUAUCCUAUAGGGCUCAAGUUUGGUUCCAUACUGUCUUAGGGAGGCCUCACUAGCUGUGCCAAGGUUGUGAAGGUUAGUUUUUAAAACCCAAAACAUAAUGGGCAGGUGGGAGUGGAAGACCACAUGCUAAGAGUUUGUAAGAGCCCCUAUUUCCUGGAGAGUCCAGUAGGUAACCAGUCAUUAGUUGUUUCAUGCCAUUAAUAAACGUGUCAAAUGCAUUUCCUUGGAAGAGGAUACUAUGAAUGUGAUGUCAUACCUAUGCUCCUGGAGAAAGGUGUGUAUAGUUAAGAGCCUCUCUGCUAAGACUGUGUGUGAUGGCAAAGCUGCUGAGAAACUCCAUGGGUAGCUGGCAAAAGGUGUAUUGAGUUCUUUUGAAGGUGGAGGCAAACGUGGUGAGAGAUUGUUAAAAUAGGAGUUUAGCCACCUGUAGUUGUCUUUAUGUUCUGUCUUUGACUGACAAGAGAAAAAGGAAGGGACCCAGUGUCUCUAGGCAGCAACCUUAACCACAGGAUACUCAGUCCUUCUACCCCUCAACUUGUUUUUUAUUUUUAAUCUCUGUUUUCUUUGAAUGCUUACCCUCUCUAGAGUGUCCCAAUCAACCUUAGAGAGCCUGGGGGUCUACAUCACCAAUAGUGGACUCAAUUUUGUCUUUUAAAUUAUUUAUUGUUUGACAAUUUAUUUAUUUUGAGACGGAGUCUUGCUCUGUUGCCCAGGCUGGAGUGCAAUGGAGCGAUCUCAGCUCACUGCAACCUCUGCCUCCCAGGUGCAAGCGAUUCUCCUGCCUCAGCCUCUGGAGUAGCUGGGAUUACAGGCCUGCACUAAUUUUUGUAUUUUUAGUAGAGACGGGCUUUUACCAUGUUGGUCAGGCUUUAAGGAAGAGAUUAUUAACAUGUCAAUAUGUACCAGCACUUAAAAGUACUCAACGCAUUUACCAGGUGAAGUGUAAUUUACAAUGAGCUGAGAAACAUCUUCAAGUGUCUUAGGAGAAACAAGAUCAAAGAAUUCCUUCUCCUCUCUUUCCUUUCCUCUCUCUUUUUUUUUUUUUUUUUUUUUUUAAACAUUGAUUCACCAUCUUCUGUGGAUGGGAUCUGUGAUAGCCCAUGGGGUUGGAGACCAAUGAGCAAUGGCUACAAGGAUGCAGCAGAGAAGGUGCCACUGGUCCCAGCAGCAUUGACUCUAAUGAAGUGCUGUCUAGGACUAUCCUCGGGAGGAGGACCAUUUGACUCUUGGAGGGAGGAGAGUGAAUUAUCUUCUUCUCCCAAGUGCUAUUGAGAGCAGGCAGCAUCACGUACGUCUACUGCAGCCUACUGGCUCCCUCAGCUUUCCAGCUAGCAUUCAGCAAUAUAUACACCCAUGACCCUAUGAUGGGGGAAACUCCACUUCUAGUGUCAGGGGAUAUUCCUCAAAUUAUAAUCACUCAAAGGUGCACUGAAAAACAGCCAAGUCACAUGGCCAAUUCAAAAGAGGCUCCCCCUCUUGCUGGGAUCAAGUUGGAAUGCAGUAUCCUGGAGUGUGUUAUCGGGAUUGGGACAGGAUCUAGACUUUAGGAAGGGGAUUCUUGGCAGUAUUCAGAAGAGGUAAUACAAAGCCAUGCAAGGCAGUACACAAGAAUGUCAUCGGAGUAGAAAGGCCUCCAAAACAGUAGAGCCCUAUGUAGUUAGGCAAUUAAACCAUGAGCGGUGAAAGGGCAUCUCUGAGGGACAUUUCACUGGAGUUUGGAAUGAUCGCAUUUUUGUUGCCAAUUCAAAUCAUUACAACAAGGCAUGGAAAUCACACUCAGAAAUGCAUAAGAGAUAAAAAUUUAUAAUCACAGUUUCUAGAGGGAACCAGAGGCAUGCCAUGCAAGGGGCCCUAUGAGAAGAACUCCUAGGGAACAGGCUCCAUCAAGCAGGAGAGCCAAGAGAGAAUGUGAACCCAUGGGCAGGUACCUCCAUUGAGAGUCAACGUGGACUACACAAGCAAGAAGCAUGAGGGGAUUUUACUGGUACAUUUGAAUAUCACUAGGUCACAAUCAGGGAAGGCAAGAAGAGGAACUUGUGGCAGGAACCAGACUUAUCACACCGGUGUACCUGGUAACUUGGUGAGGGGUGGGUUGCUCAGAGUCUGUUCAUGGAGAGGUUAAGGUAUCAGGAACAUAUGAAGUUAAAAAAAAUUGCAAUAUGCCACCCUGCUACGCUGUAUUUUGCUUACAAAUUUUAUGGAGAAUAACUUUUCUAUCUCUUCACUUUCAGCCUAUGCGUGUCCUUAAAGCUAAAGUGAGUCUUUUGCAGGCGGUAUAUAGUUGGAUCUUGUUUUAUCCAUUCAGUCACUCUAUAUGUUUUGAUUGGAGAAUGUAAUCUAUUUAAUUUAAAGUGAUUAUUGAUAGGCAAGGACUUACUAUCAUUAUUUUGUUAAUUGUUUUCUGACUGUGUUGUAGCUCCUGGUUCUUCCUCUCUUCUUGUUUUCCUUUUUGAUUUGAUGAUUUCUUUUGUAGUGAUAUGCAUUGAUCUCUUUAUUUUUGUCUUCUGUGUAUCUACUACAGAUUUUUAGUUUGUAAUUACCAUAAAGCUUGCAUAAAACAUGAGUCUAUUUUAAGCUGAUAACCUAAGUUAAAUUGCAUACAAAAACUCUACAUUUACUUACUUCUCCUCACCUACACAUUUUGUGUUACUAAUGUCACAAUUUAUAACUUAAUACACUGUGUAUCCCUUAGCAAAUUAUCAUAUAGAUAUUUUUAAAAUUUGUUUUUUUAACUUUUAUACUAAGAUUAAAAGUGAGUUACACAUUACCAUUACACCAUUAUUCUGAUGUUGACUUUAUACUUACCUUUACCAGUGAGUUUCAUGCUUUCAUACAUUUUUAUGUUGCUAAUUAUAGUCCUGUCAUUUCAACUUGAAGAACUGUUUUCAGCAUUUCUUGUAUGGCUGGUCUAGUGGUGAUGAACUCGUUCAGUGCAUCCACUCUUGAAUAUUUUUCUCCACUGUAGUGCUAGAACCUCUCAUCUGGACUCCAGGGCUCCCACAAAGGUAUUCUUGUUUAUGGGUAGUUGGCAAAAUUGGUGUUUCUCUAGGGGGAUAGCAGCUGGAAACUUCUACUUCAUUAUGUUGCUAAUGUCCCUUCUGACAGAAGGUUUUUCUGGAUACCAUACUUUCUCCAGUGGUAUGUUUGGAGUUGUCCAUAUCACCUGCUGUUAAAAAUGUCCCUGAACCUUUGGUCAGCCCUGACAGACCUAUCUGUUCUCUGUUUCUCAAUCCAGUUACCAACCUGACCACAAGAUGUACCAAAGAUUUUUUGUAUUGAAAUAAUAAUAUUUAAUAAACAUCUGCUCUGUGCCAAGCAUUUUGGCCUAUACUUUAUAGGAAUAAACUCCUUAAUCUUCAAAAUAAAUCUUUGAGAAAAUAUCAUUUCAUACAUGAUGAAACACAGUCUUAAAAAGGGAAAAUGACUUGUUGAAGGUUAUGAAGUGAUGGCAGCGGGAUUUAAACCAGGCUUGUUUCACUCCAGAAAGUCCAGAAUCCUUUUUUAUAUUCCUUAAAUAGUUUAUUGGCAAGUUGAUUAUUGUUACUUUAUUUUAUAACUCUAAAAGGAAUAUAUACACGACGUAAAAUAUUCAGAAGAUGUCAGCUCCUCCAGAAAGAUAAAGUAUGGUUCCUGUGCUGAAUGAAGAACUCAGUGGGUAAUGUGGACGGAGCUCCUGCCUUAAGAGAGACAAGUAUGUAAGUGGACUGGGAAAGGCCGUCAUGUGAUGCUUGGGAAGGAGACAUUCAGGUACUGACAAUAAAGUCCACAGAGGAAGAGACAAAGAAAUGGUUCACCUCAAAGUCUAUGAGGGGGAAAAUAAUGCCUGGAACCAUGAGACAUGCAAACGUGGUUCUGAAUAAUUGUUACCUGGAAUAAUGUUAUUUCUUGCCACACAUUAAUGCAUUUGCUAAAACAAAGCCAGAAACUUUAAUUUGGAUAUCUGAUUCCACUGGGGAUGACCCAAUGGGAAUUUUCAGAUGAAUUGGUUUUGCUAGCAAUACUUGUAUGGUAGAAGUUAUGCUGAGUCUGGCUGGCUGACAGCCAGCUAUGAGGCUCAGUCUGUGAAGUAUCCGCUGGCUGGGAAGUUCUUUCAAACUCAGAAAUUACAAAGUAUCAAGUCUUAAUAUUGGUUGUAUCCUAGAUAUACUGGUUAAAACAAAUUACAAUGUAAAAAUAUAUAUGAAUAUAUGAUAAACAAGGUAAUUGCAGAGGGAUCUAAAUGUUCAUGUCACUUAUGUCUAACAUCAUCUUCUGGAGGUGUCAUUCUAGGCAGCCAAAUCCUAAUUUUUUAGUCAUUGAAAAUUCUAGAAUCAGAAAAGUUAAGUAUAUGGUAGCAAUUAAUGGUUUAAACCUAAGAUAGUCUGAUGCAUCCACCACCAUAAAAAUAAUUGCUGCAGAGAUAUGACUUUACCCUAGGGCUCCUCUGGCCUGGAGUGGUCAACACAGUUCUUUGGAGACUUACUAUUUUCUGCUUUUACAGUUGAAAUAUAUUUUCUCCUAAGUGACAAGUUUCCUUGUCAGGUAUAUUAAUACCUUAAAUCUAAUAGUUGUUAAGUUUAACCGACCUAGACUCAAACUGUUACCUUCUUAUGAUUUCUCAUGUCUCAGCUCUGAUUCUCGGAGUUGAGAUAAUUCUUUAUUUAUCUGAGAGAAACUUUAUAAGUUCUUGGGGAAAAUAAUGUCUUUUUAGAAUGGUAUAGAUAGAUUUCUCAAACUUGAGAGGGGAACAUGAUGAUGACUUUUUAGAAAAAGGCAGAUCGAUUUCUCAACCUUGAUAUGGGGAACAUGAUGAUGUCUCUUUAGAAUCAGGUAGAUCGAUUUCUCAAGCUUGAGGUCUCAGAAGUGCAAGCUGCCUUCAGACCCCAGUGAGAUGGGGUGGACUAAUUAUACAUAUCUUCAUUCUGUUCCUAUAUGAACAAGGACUCGAGGCCUUGGCUGGGCCAUGGCCAGUGUACAGCAAUUUAGUGGAAGAUAGGUGACUGAAAUCAAUAUUUCCUAAGCUAGCUCUUAGGAUCAAUGUCUUUUCCAUUCAGCCAUAUUCCUUUAUCAAACUCAAACGGUAGGAUUUUUCAACGGUGGAUCAGACUGAUGUUAAACAUGUUUCCAGAUAAAGACAUUAAUUUUGUUUCUGUUGCUGUUUAAAGCAAAUAACAAAGAGAGUCUGGCUGGGUGUGGUGGCUCAUGCCUGUAAUCUCAGCACUUUGGGAGGCUGAGGUGGGUGGAUCACUUGAGGUCAGGAGUUCGAGAUCAGCCUGGUCAACAUGGUGAAACUCUGUCUCUACCAAAAAUACAAAAAUUAGCCAUGUAGUGGGAUGCACCUGUAAUCCCAGUUACUCAGGAAGCUGAGGCAGGAGAAUGGCUUGAACCUGGGAGGCAGAGGUUGCAGUAAGUCGAGAUUGUGCCACUGUACUCCCGCCUGAUUAACAAAGAUGUAGGAACCAGAGCUCUUGGAUUCCAGAGUUGGUAAUCUUGGCUCUAUGCUGCUCUGUAGUCAGAAUCAAUCAAUUCCCUUGGAACAGGUGAACAGAAAGUGUGUCUUGUCUUGCCUUUACACAGAGAAAGGGACCAAUUAAGUUCCAACUCUUUGGGAAUUUAGAGUCUCAGAGAGAAAAAUUAAGAGAAUAAUCUAAAUCACAAUGAAGAAAUUAUCUAUUAAUAUAUUUAUAAUAAGAGCAAAUUGAGUGUCUCUCUGCUGCUGAGAACCAUUGUUAGCACAUCACAAUAAAGUCAAAUAACAUGGAGUGAGAUGGAAGAAAGAGAAAACAGGGUGAGUUUCUUCAGAGCUCAGAGGGAAGAAUUUAUUUUUUGUUUUUUUGAAUUCUACAUAUACAAGAAAAUGUGUGUGAGUGAGUGUGUGUGUGUGUUUAUUUUGUGAGAGAGACAGACUUGGUGGGGUGAGGUGAAUUCUGGUUCUGGAGAUGUGCUAUGGAAUUGGGGAGAACUUGGCAGGGUAGUUCUUCAGGGCCUUACCAGUGCUGAAUUACUUAAAAUUGAAUUAAGAGAGUCUCCCUCAGCACAAAUUGAAACAGCUAGACUUGGGGAUAAAGGAACAAAUUUACCUAAUAGGUCAAGAUUCUGAGGUUAAGUCUUCUUUGCAAUUUGGCAGUUGCACUGAUUUAUGUGCCAAACUGUGAACUCAUUUCUCAAAGUGGUCCAGGAGAAGGACUGUUUAAGGCUCUAGCAGGAUCAGGUUCAUGCAGCAGUCUAAAUGAUUUGCACAUGCUCUAGGGCUGGUGACAUCUAUCUAUACUCAAAAGCUGAAUUUCUUUUUAGUGCAUAGGUAAAACCAUAUUUCAUGCCUUUUUAGGGAAAGAUGAUGCUGUACACUGGGAUUGGUAAUCAGGGAAGUUUCACUUUGGGAAAUUCUGCCUUUCUGUGUUAGUCAUUUGCAUUGCUUUACUUCAAACUUCAGUAACAAUUGAUUGAGAUUGAUCCAUCACUAUUUCAGUGGAGCCUGACUUAUUUGUAAGGGCUGCCCGUGUCUUCUUAUCUGGGCCUGGCUUUUGAGGCCCCCUCGAAAUGUAAUCACCCCCAGCUUCCUCAAGCUCUUUCAGUAAUCCUCUUUGCUGUCUCCUUCCUGCACCAUUGCCUGGUACCUCCUCCUCUUCCAAUCUGUUCCACCCCUCUGAUCAUUCUCCUCUGAGCUUCUCUGGGCCAAGACAUGACUGUCCCUGACCUGUGACAGCUCCUUGUGCAUGAAUUUACCUCCACAACUGAACUAGGAGCUCUCCAUGGCCACAGCUGACACUUACCCUGUUGUCUUACCCAUGAACUUGUGAUACUUUUUCUUGUAAUUGCUUUUCUAGGUAAAAAUACUCUUCGUCAUGAUUCUUGUGGAUGUGACUGUAUCUGAACAGCCUCAGUGUAAUAUGAAUAAACAAGAAUCAAAUUACUGAGUACCUACUGUGUGCCAGACACUGUGUAGACAUAUAUUUUCAUUACCCUACACAUUAGCAUAAUGAAGACAGUAUUUAUUCAUUAAAUCAACUAAGACUAUGAUACAUACCAGUAUAAUCUCUAACACUUUUCCCAUAAUAUUUUGAGUGCUUAUUAAUUAUGUGCAAGGCACAGAUGAAAUGCCUAGUCUGAUGAAGUAUUAAAAUGGUUAUCAAUUCAAAAGCAAAUAAAUGAACACUGCAGAUUAAGCCAUGCAGCUAUAAAAUCUAGCAUACCUUUAUAAAUUUAAAAAUUAUUAGCUGAAUACUACCAACUGCCAGCAGUCAGAAUUGAAUGCUUGCUUUGUUCCUGAGAUUAUAAUAAACACUUCACUAAUGCUGAGGGCAGUAAAGUGGGAUGCCCUAAUUCUUGCAGCUAGUAGAUAAGGAAGUCCAUGGUCAUCUGCACACAGAUCUCAUAAUCUUCCCAUAAUAAAAUACUGGACAGUGUAUGAGAUAUUGUCAAUAAAUGCCAUAACCUUAGGCUAUUAGUCUCCCUGAAUGACAGGCUUUUAAUUUAUAAUGCAAAUAACAACAAUCAUCUCUUUGAACAGUUGGAAGGAGAUGGCUGGACUUAUUUAUUUCAGAACUGAGAUUACUAAAGCAUUAUUAUUAAAAAAGGAACUUGGAUUUGGGGCUGGCUCCCCUGAAUUCUUAAUAAGGGAUAACCUUAUAACUAAAAGGAAAGAGACCUCAAAAUGGAUGAGUGUGGGAGGAGUGAAAGAAUAUACAGUUGUAUUAAGUACCAGUCAUAUCUCUAGCACUUUAAAAAUAUUAUAGAAUUGUUAUCACAAUAACCCUGUGAUGUGAGGUAAUGUAAAAAAAGUUUUAUAUAAGUGUCUUUACUAGUAACGUUUAGAGAGGUUACAUAACUUCCUCAUUUUAUAUUCAUUUAUUGAGUACAUGUUAGUCACUGUCUUAAUUUUUCUAACUUAUUUAUUUCUCACUACAACAUUCAAAGUUAGAUGUUAUUUUUAUCCCCAUUUAACAGUUGGCCAAACUGAGGCACAGAAACAUUUCAAACAUGCUCAAGGUCACAAGUAGAGGAGCCAGGAUUCAAACGCAGGCACUCUGACUUUAUACUUUGUGCUUUUAACCAAUACGUCAAUAUUCAAAGUGGUGGAAUUCAGACUCAAAUUCAUUCCAAACCUUUUCUUUGUUUUUCACUUGGAGUCACAGGAGAAUAUUCCUACUCUUAAAUCCAGAUGCCUCUGAAGACCAGGAAUUGACUUUCUCCUUAGUAAGUCACAGACACUUUUAAGACAAGUGUGAGAAUAUUAUCACCUUUCUGGGGUAUUCAGAGUUCCCCAAGGAGCCUCAGGAAAAUAGUAUGUUCAGUGUGAUAAUUGAUAGCUCUGAUUCAUCUGGCUAUUCCUCUUCCUUCCAGAGCUUCCUGCCAUGUCAUACCAUUCCUUUCACAUCAUCACUGUGUGUCCAUGUAAAUGUAUCUAGACAGCCAUCCUACACUUUUUUUUAAAUCUCCAACUUCUGCUCAGCAUUCAUAUUGAAGUCUUCCCCAGGUGAAGCAGUUUUAGAAGUCGACUCCGAAUCUCCUUGGUUCUAGCUCCAUAGAGAAUAGGAUUGAGUACAGGAGGCACCAGCACAUAGAGAUUAGCCAGAAAGAUGUGCACAUGCUUGGGGACUUCGUGGUGACCAAAGCGGUGGGUGAGGAAGGAGAAGAAGGCAGGGAUGUAGAAAACCAGGAUGAUGCCAAUGUGGGAGCCACAGGUACUCAGAGCUUUGUGCUGGGCAUCAUGAGAUGGAAGAUGAAAGACUGCAUGGAGGAUAAAGCCAUAGGAAAUGGCAAUGAGAAUGGAAUCCAGUCCCAUGGCCAGCAGAGCCACAGUUAGCCCAUAGACAAUAUUGACAGUGAUGUUGGCACAGGCCAGUCGGGCAAUGCCCAUAUGCUCACAGUAUGUGUGUGUCAUGACACGGUGACCACAGUAGGGGAGUCGCCUCAGCAAGAAGAUGAAGGGGGAGACAAUAGCCACACUACGGAAUAGCCCAACAAAGCCAAUUCUGCCUAUGACAGCAUGGUUGAGAAUGGUUGUGUACCUUAAUGGGUUACAGAUAGCCACAUACCUAUCAAAGGCCAUGGCAAGUAGAAUUGAGGACUCCAGAGCAUAGAUAGAAUGGACACAAAACAUCUGGGCCAGGCAUCCACCAAAGGAAAUCUCACCAGCAUGGAGCCACAAAAUGGCCAGCAUCUUGGGCACAGUGGUAGAACUGAGAGCCAGGUCUGUGAGUGAGAGAAGGCAGAGGAAGAGGUACAUAGGUGCAUGAAGAGCAUUGUCCAUGGCAAUGACCAGGAUGAGGGCAGCAUUUCCAACCAGUGCUACAAGAUACAUGGCACAGAAAGGGAUGGCAAUCCAGAAGUGGGCAGCCUCCAGCCCUGGGAUCCCUGUUAAGAAGAAGGUGUCUGGAAGAUGGUUAUCACUGAGGUUGGAAUCUGACAUUCUUCCUGGCAAAUGAAGGGCUCUUUCUGAAUAGUAUUGUUAUGCUUGCCCUGUAACAUCAGAUAUUUGGUUGAUUUAUGUAAAACAAAGAUCUUUCUGUGAAAUAAUCUUUUUUAGACUAAAAAAAUUUGUUUUUCACUUGUACAAACAUCUGAAAUGACUACCACAUAUAAUUCAUUUUAAAACCUUCUGCUAAUUUCUAUAUUGAACAAUGAUGUUUUGAGUUCUAUAUCCAAAGCACCAAGCUAAGUAUUUAUUAGUCUUCUCAAACUGACCUUUCCAGACUUAUCUCCCUCCAUAUCCUGCACAUCAUUUAUUGACCUCUAGUCCAUCCACAUCAUGGGAUAUUUCUUACCUCUCAUUCAUGCCUUUUCUCUUACCUAGGGAGUCUCAUUCCUUUAUUUUCCUCCUCUCUAUUAAGUUUUAAUACAAGUUUCCCUGCUUCCCAGAGGCCUUCCCUUUCUAAACUGGUCUUGGUAAAUCAGAUAUGCUUGUUGAGGAUACUGCACUCAACCAUGACAAAGCCAGCGUAUAGUCCUCCAAUCCACCACUAUAAUGGCUGGCUGUGAGGUCAGAUCAGAAUGGCAAGUGCUAUUAGAGACAGAUAUAAAAAGUGAGGUAUUCUGGAUUUACCACCCAUAAAGGGACUGGAAGGGGAUUCUGUUCUUGCUGUAGAGGGAUAGCUAGUAUUAUACACAUUGUCUCAGUAACAUGUAUCCCUAAAAGAAUUCUGAGUAGAAAUGCCAGGAAAUCUGAAUUUUAGCCCCGAUUCUGUAACAUUAUUGAUUUGUGACUUUGAACAAAUCUCUUACUUAUCUGGACAGUCUCAAUUUAGAAAGGGCAAUGAAUGUAGUCAUUCUCUGAUUUUCUGUCUGCUCACUAUGUGGCAUUGAAAAAAAUUCCAAAGCCUUUUUGUGGCUUAGUUUUUAUCUUUAAAUUGGGAAUGACACCAUCUGACCUAACUUCACAAAAUUUUGUGGUUGACAAAAGAUGACUAUUCAUGGAAUUAAACAUUUGUAUACCCAGAAUAAUUCCCCUAUUUUUUCCUAAAAAAAUAAGAUAUUUAUAUUUUAACAACAUAUACUCUCGAUAAAAGAGAGUACAGUUAUCAUUUACAUCCCUAACCAAUGAAAAGACCAAUCCCAGAGAAGUGAACUGAUAUAAUUUAGAUCACGAGGCAUUUUAUUUGCAGAACUAUGAUUAGGUCUCAUGUCCCUUGAUUCAGAGUUUGGCGUUUUUGCCUCACCCUACUGUCCAUUAAUAAGUCCAAUACUUGAAUUCCUAUCUCUUUCAAAUGAGGCUAAUAUCUUUUUUGUCUAAUAUCAAUUCCUAGUGCUGAAGUAUCUUUACUCAUUAUCUUAGCUCCAAAGAGGUGGAAUUAGGAAGUCCCCUUUAUUUGCAUUGAGAUUUUUUUUUUUGUAAGAACAGGAGGCAUCUUAUUGAUUCCUACCAUAACAGAGCACCUAGGACUGUAAUACAAAGAAACACGAUUUUACUGCAGUAAAGAUAACUGAUGACCGAUGGUGUUUAGGAAGUUAUGAGACAAAAGAUACAGAGCAAACAAAAAGUCAUGGGCAUCAGCCAGUGCAGGGCUGUGCUAGAGGUUCCUAUCUAGCCCAGACACUUAGCUCAUCUGCCUUCCUACCCUCUGCUUUGGUUUAAAAUGCAGAGGAGAGACUGGAAACAAUGAUGAAUGCAGGGGCGGGGAUGCCCAUUGUGUGCUCUGUAGAUGUCUUAGGCAAACUUAGAAGCUAAAGAGCUGCUUGUGGCUGCUCAAUCUCAGAAGUGAGUCAAGAAGUUUCCAGAGAAGCUCUCCCAAAGCAGAGUCUUACAUUUUCGUGUCACAUGCCCCCACAUUUCUUCCCUCUCCUCCUCCUCAGGUCUCCAGUAACCCAACAGUAUUUAGCGGCACAUACCAUGGACCAGUCACUGUGUGGAACUGGGGUAACAGCAAUGAACAAUCAGACAAAAAUCCCUGCCGUGAAAGAGCUUAGAUUUUAGCAAAGGCAGAUAAAUAGCAAACAAAAUGCAGAAGUAAAAUAUAUGUUAGAUAAUGAUAAGGACUUUGAAAAAAUAAAACAGAAAGAAAAAGAGGUAGUGGGAGUGGGGUAAAUUCUAAUUAGGGCAUUGUAUUAGUUUGCUAGGGCUGUCACCACAAAGCACCACAGACUGAGAGGUUUAAUAACAGAAACAUAUUCUCUCACAGUUGUGGAGGCUGGAAGUCUGAUAUCGCGAUGUUGGCAGGUUUGGUUCUUUGUGAGUCCUUUCUCCUUGCCUUGUAGAUGACCCCCCUUUGUGUCUUCAGUUGGUCUUCCCUCUCUGCCUGUGCCCUCAUCUCCCCUUGUUAAAAGGUCAACAGCCAUAUCGGAUUAGGGCACAUCCUAGUGACCACAUUUUUUAAAAAAACUAUCACAUCUUUAAAGAUCUUAUCAUUAAAUACAGUCACAUUCUGAGAUGCUGAGGGUUAAUUAAGACCUUGACAUAUGAAUUUGGGGGUGUGGAGACCAACACAAUUCAGCCUGUAACAGACAUCCAGGGAAAUCUUUGCUGGGAAGGUAGUAUUUGAGCAAAGCCUUGAGUCAAAAGAGCUAGCCAUGCAGAUCUCAGAAGGAAGAACAUUUCAGACAGGGGGACAGCAAGUGCAAAGGCUUUGAGACAUAGGCCUGCCUGAUGGGUUUGGAAGCAGCAAAGAGGCUUUUGUGCUGGAGGACUAGAAGUGGGGGUGCAAGGAGCAUAGGCAAGAUAGGCUAGAUCCUUAGGCCACAGAAGGGACUUUGACUUUCACUCUGAGUUGGAGGGGGAUCCUUAAGGGAGAAAUCACAUUGCUGGUGAUCUGCAAGUUCAGGCUCAAAUUCAUUGCUCAGCCCAAGCAGAGUCCAUCAGGUGCUUAUGCUGACGGCACCAGGGAUGCAAGGCUGAAUAGCUGGAGAAACAAUUAACACAUUUUUUGUGGGAAAGAUACAUCUAUUUCUAGAGCUCUCACUAUUAUAACUUCUGAACGUUGCCUCAAUUCUUGAUAUUAUUACUGUUAACCUUCUUUUUGAUGCACUUAGAAAACGUGAGAGGAAGGUUAUUUUUAUGUCAUAUGUGCUUUGGUAAAAUUUUGCAGGAUUUGUGUACUGUGUAUUCUUUUAUCCUUUUUCUUUUGCUGGGCUAAGAGUGAAGGGGAGAACAGCAGAGAUCUACCUUCCAUCACCUUUGGUGGAGGGGUGCUAUGAUGGGAAAUCUGCUUCUGACUUAUUCUUUUGAAAUCAUAGUUAGGGUACCAUAUUCUUUGCAGGUUAUGUAGAUGAUGUACUUUUCAUUGCCAGAGAAAGAGUAGCCAAUCUGUAUAAUGCCAGUUUGUCAAAUCUGAAAGUGCUAAAAUCAACCAAAACCUAUAAAGCUAUGAAGAAUAUUGAUACUGUAUAACAUGUAUUGGAGCAUAAAAACUUUUUUAAAAGGCAGGUUUAUUCUCACAUUGCCCAUAAUAAUAUUUUGAAAUAAUACAUAUGUAAUGUUUGUUUAUUUAGCCAGAGGCAAGUUGGUACUGUGGUAAUACCGUCGGGUUUGUUGUUCAAAGACAAGGGCCAAGGCCCAGGUUUGCUACUUCCUGGCUUUGUGUCCUUGGGCAGGUCAUUUAACCUCUCCCAUUGGUAAACCGAAGAAGACAAGUCCUCCUCUACUUCUGACAGAAGUAUUGGGAAGAUCAAGUGAACACAUGUCUUUGUGGAGUACUAUAUAAAAUUAGAUAUUAUCAUAAUGCAUUGCACUGAUAUUUUUUAGUGAUGACACUAGAUGGUUUUGGGCUCAGCAUUGGCACUGACCUGUGUUAAUAGGGGAAACAAGCUUGGACGACAGAGUCUAGAGAGCUGGAAUCACUACCAUCUUCUUUUCUCCUUUCUUUCUGGCCUAUUCUUGCCCUCUAAGAAAGCUUUAAAAUAACUGUUGUAAGGUAACUGCUACUCUGUGAUUAUCUAAGGAUGUGUGGACCAGAAAGAUUGAGGCAGGAGCAGGUCCCAUUUAUUUCCCUUUAGAAAACAGUGGGAAAACGAUAUUGAACUUGAGUAUCAUUUAGGUUCACAAUACAGGCACCCUUCCUAACUUGUUGCAGGAUCCUGUGUCUGGGUCCCCAUCUUACACCUAGAUGUCAGUAACUUAGCUGUGAGUUCAUUGACUGAACAUAUUGCUGAGGAAUCUGAUUUCAAGAACUUACCUGCACAAGAGACAUGAGUUUGCAGGUGGAGCAUGCAGAAGUUGGACCUCGGUGUAAAGGUGUGUGUAUGAGGGUGAAACUGUGUGGGAGAAAGAGUGUGGUGGUGCAGUGGCUUUGGCAGGAGGUGUGUGUCUGGAUGCAAAGUUUUGUUUAGGGAAGUGAAGGCUGUGUUUCUCUGCAGGUUCAAGGGAGUAUGGUAUGAGAGAGUGGAGGGUCUGAAUGUGUAAUUCGUGUUGAAAUGUCUUGUCCUUUCUCAGUUUUCUGGGCUAAUGUCUUCAGUUCAGCUCUGUAUUUCUGCCUCCUCUAGUCAAGGGGAUUGGUAAACGGGGUUAUUUAUUGACUUUCUGUGAUGUGCAGGUGGGAAAACCCAGGUGGCAUCCCCUAAGGAUUUGAUCUGUGGUCCAUCUAUUGAGGGAAAGAUAAGAAGCAGUUGAUAAUUGAGAAAAAAAUGAGCAAGGGAAAUUUUCCAGUGAGUUUUCAAGGGAAUUUGAAAUUAAACAGCUAGCCUGUCUUUUCCUCUAUUCUGAUCUCUUUUUCACUUCUUUCCUUGUCUUCCUUUUCUCUUCUUUUUUUUUUUAGCUGUACUUUCUACUCUUUCUUUUCUUUUCUUUUCUUUUUUUUUUAAUUAUACUUUAAGUUUUAGGGUACAUGUGCACGUUGUGCAGGUUAGUUACACAUGUAUACAUGUGCCAUGCUGGUGCGCUGCACCCACUAACUCGUCAUCUAGCGUUAGGUAUAUCUCCCAAUGCUAUCCCUCCCCCCUCCCCCCACCCCAUCACAGUCCCCAGAGUGUGAUAUUCCCCUUCCUGUGUCCAUGUGAUCUCAUUGUUCAGUUCCCACCUAUGAGUGAGAAUAUGCGGUGUUUGGUUUUUUGUUCUUGCAAUAGUUUACUGAGAAUGAUGAUUUCCAAUUUCAUCCAUGUCUCUACAAAGGACAUGAACUCAUCAUUUUUUAUGGCUGCAUAGUAUUCCAUGGUGUAUAUGUGCCACAUUUUCUUAAUCCAGUCUAUCAUUGAUGGACAUUUGGGUUGGUUCCAAGUCUUUGCUAUUGUGCAUAAUGCCGCAAUAAACAUACGUGUGCAUGUGUCUUUAUAGCAGCAUGAUUUAUAGUCCUUUGGG
This 22136-nucleotide long non-coding RNA is filed under the name Homo sapiens (human). RNAcentral's name for it is "HSALNT0361117". The record is from RNAcentral. Lineage: Eukaryota; Metazoa; Chordata; Mammalia; Primates; Hominidae.